CUACUACCGAUUGAAUGGCUUAGUGAGGUCUCCGAGAUUGGCUUCGAGAAACCGAGCAACGGUAGCUCUUAGCUGAGAAGCUGAUCAAACUUGGUCAUUUAGAGGAAGUAAAAGUCGUAACAAGGUU
This 127-nucleotide ribosomal RNA is filed under the name uncultured eukaryote. RNAcentral's name for it is "partial 18S ribosomal RNA". It matches the Rfam family "Eukaryotic small subunit ribosomal RNA", at positions 1679 to 1801 of the family's 1831-position model. The record is from RNAcentral.